Molecule: long non-coding RNA, 838 nt
Organism: Pongo pygmaeus (Bornean orangutan)
Lineage: Eukaryota; Metazoa; Chordata; Mammalia; Primates; Hominidae
Exons: 2
Source: RefSeq, a predicted model, not a curated record
CGUCGCUUGGAGGCUGGGCGCGGGCGGGUUUCCUCUUUCCCGUGAGACCCUGGGUUUCUGCUGCACAAUCGGAAUCACUCGCCCACGCUCCGGGAGGGCAGCGAGGGCGUGGGCGGCCCAUGCGCAUCCACCGCUCUUUGACCCUAUCCCACGCCAGCUUGUGCGGCUGCGGAGCGGGCACAUCCCUGGACUGAGAGCGCCUUGAGGAAAAGGGCCGCCCUUCUGUUUCUGCGAUUAAUGAUGCCUGUGAACGGAAUCUGCCGUAUCAAUGGACAUUUUUGUGUUUAAAAGGAGAACGCAUCUUUAUUGAGCUCCAGCUGUGACUCAAGCACUUACAACAAAUCCUGUGAAGUGAUGUUACAGCAGAUUCUAGGAAAUGAAAACCCCAAGACUCAGAUGUGCAAGUUGUCUUUGUUCGGGGUCCCACAGCUGCUGAGUAGAAGGAGUAGAAGAUGAGGGGCUGCCUCCGAUGAGACCCGUCUGACUUAACUGGUUCCCCAAAUGCUGCUGAUAAAACCCAGCAGUACUGGCUGUGCUAAUUUUCUAGCUCAGGCAGCUGGACUUUUUUCUCUUCCUCAUUGGUUUCCUCUUUUAGAAUAUUGGUCUCUAGGCUACUCUGUGCCUCAGACUAUACACAGCUAGAACUUUUGUGAGGUUUGUUAUCAUUGGUAGCAAAUAUGUGUUGAGAGCUAGCUUCCAUGUCAGGUGCUGUGUUGAGCACUUUACUGGACUUGAGCCCUUUUAUUCUCCCAGCUCUGCUGGGAAGCAGAUGUCAUCAUUGUCUGCUUCUUCUUCCACUGCCUUGUUGAAUGAACAAAUAAAGGUUAUUCCCUUACAA